UUGACAGCCUGAGGAACCUGCAUUCCUCUAUUUAUACCUUAAAGCAGUACAGUAUGGGCAGUAAGAGUGCAAUAUUCCACAUCCCUAUAAUGUGCCUCAACCCUAUUGGGAGGGACCAAUUCUAGAGGUAAGAGGGUUGUUUACUCUCUAUGCCCAUUUAACCCUUGACAUCU
Molecule: small RNA, 173 nt
Filed under: Gopherus agassizii (Agassiz's desert tortoise)
Lineage: Eukaryota; Metazoa; Chordata; Testudines; Testudinidae
Description: TUC338 (ENSGAGG00000009700.1)
Source: RNAcentral